Molecule: transfer RNA, 541 nt
Filed under: uncultured cyanobacterium
Lineage: Bacteria; Bacillati; Cyanobacteriota
Description: partial miscellaneous RNA
Rfam family: tRNA (bases 126-199)
Source: RNAcentral
CAGGGAGACAACAAAAUGUUUAAUAUUAUUAUUUUGUCACCUUAGGUCGAUCGGUAUCUCACGUUUUUAAUUUAUUAAGAAUUUCAUUUCCUAAGUUUUUCUAGGUCACACCCAUUAUUUUUCCUGGGCCAUUAGCUCAGGUGGUUAGAGCGCACCCCUGAUAAGGGUGAGGUCCCUGGUUCAAGUCCAGGAUGGCCCAUAUCUCUAUGUUGGGGGUAUAGCUCAGUUGGUAGAGCGCCUGCUUUGCAAGCAUGAUGUCAGCGGUUCGAGUCCGCUUACCUCCACUGAUUACCACCUCUUCCAUAACCGGUAGAAAGGAAAUGUUUUGAGUUGUGAUCAGAUUCUGAAAGAAUCUAGCUUCCUAAUGAAAUCAUUAAGAUGCUGGACUCAUUGAAUUAAUUUCAUUGUUUUCAGAGAACCUUGACAACUGCAUAGAUUAUUUUUAAAGACAAUAAGCAUCUUUAAUGAUGCAGAUUUAUUAUUUGUGCGAAUGCAUUAAUAACAAUUCUAUUAAGCUGAUGCUUCAAUUUUUGAAGUUAUU